AUGAGUUGAUUGAUUAUUAAUAAAAGUUAAAGAGAUUUAUCAUUUGUUCCUUGUUUUCGGUAGAUCAUAGGUGAUCUCAACGAAUUUAAGAAGACAUUGAUCUUAGGCAUUCUUAGACUAAAUAAGAUCAUUGUGUUAUUCUAGUUUUCCGAAUAUUCUCAGAAUCAACGUAUCUCUAGUUCUAUCCUAUAAAGCUUCCGCUACAUUGAAAUUGAAUCGCAAGUUACCGGGACUCAAAUGAUGCUUUCGCCUCUACAUCUAAUUCUUCCUUAUCAACGACAUGAUUCAGGUAACCAUUCUUUCUUUGACAUCGAUUCAGGAAGCAAUCUAUGCGAGAUUC
This 340-nucleotide long non-coding RNA is filed under the name Brassica napus (rape). RNAcentral's name for it is "long non-coding RNA (BNAP_LNC010866)". The record is from RNAcentral. Lineage: Eukaryota; Viridiplantae; Streptophyta; Magnoliopsida; Brassicales; Brassicaceae.